AACGCACAUUGCACCCGCCGGGACAGCCCGGCGGGAACGCCUGUCUGAGCGUCAUUUCAACCCUCGCCCCCUGGCUUCCCUGCCCGGGGACGGUGUUGGGAGUCAGCCGCAACUGGCUGUUCCCCAAACUCAGUGGCGAACGCGCUGUGAAGCCCCCUGCGUAGUAGCACACCUCGCGGGACGGACAGCGGCGCGGGCUGCCGUGAAACCCCCCAACUCUUUCAAGGUUGACCUCAGAUCAGGUGGGAAUACCCGCUGAACUUAA
This 265-nucleotide unclassified non-coding RNA is filed under the name uncultured fungus. RNAcentral describes it as "partial contains 5.8S ribosomal RNA, internal transcribed spacer 2, and large subunit ribosomal RNA". The record is from RNAcentral. Lineage: Eukaryota; Fungi.